RNAcentral lists this ribosomal RNA (440 nucleotides) under uncultured bacterium. RNAcentral's name for it is "partial 16S ribosomal RNA". It matches the Rfam family "Bacterial small subunit ribosomal RNA", at positions 339 to 795 of the family's 1533-position model. The record is from RNAcentral.
CUACGGGGUGCAGCAGUAGGGAAUCUUGCGCAAUGGGCGAAAGCCUGACGCAGCAACGCCGCGUGAACGAUUAAGCCCUUCGGGGUGUAAAGUUCUGUCAGUGGGGACGAAACUUGACGGUACCCACAGAGGAAGCACCGGCUAACUCCGUGCCAGCAGCCGCGGUAAUACGGAGGGUGCAAGCGUUGUCCGGAAUCAUUGGGCGUAAAGAGUUCGUAGGUGGCAUAUUAAGUCUGGUGUUAAAGGCAGAAGCUCAACUUCUGUAAGGCACUGGAUACUGGUAAGCUUGAAUGUGGUAGAGGUAAAGGGAAUUCCUGGUGUAGCGGUGAAAUGCGUAGAUAUCAGGAGGAACAUCGGUGGCGAAAGCGCUUUACUGGGCCAUAAUUGACACUGAGGAACGAAAGCCGGGGUAGCAAAUGGGAUUAGAUACCCCUGUAGUC